GUUACAAACGUCACAUCUUUGAUAUUUUAUUUUAAAAUAAUUAUUUUAACUUAUUUCCUUUAAUAUUUCAUUAAUAAUUAUCUUCUUCUAAUUGGUUUACCCAUUUUCCCCUUUAAAAAUCGGUUGGCGCUCUCUUUUAUUACCCUCUUUUAUUAUCUUCUAUUUAAUAUAUCUCUUUCAUUUAAAUCAUCAUACUGAACAUACCUCGUAUAUUCAUACUCUCCAAAUAUCUGUAUUUUCAAUACGGAACAUGCCGCUACUUCAUAGUACUUGGUUGUCAUUUUAAAUGUCGUUUUCAAUGACAGUGUCACUUCAUCGACUUGACCCCCUACUCCCUGACAUACACUGGAAGGAAAAAAUUAAUCCUUAAAAAGGCAUGUAAUUCGAAAAAUAAAUCAUUUCUAUUUCAUCAAAUCAUCUCUUGGGUUUUUUGGAAAGAAACCACUUUUCUCCCUCCGGGAGUUUCAACAACCCUCAAAUCGCCGGCGAUACAACAACGAGGACCAUGUCAUCAGGGCUGCAACCACAUAACCAAGACUGCAACGACCAACAUCCGUAGGCCUGGUGGAAUACAACACCUACAACCCCAGAGCCCGUUGCAGAACCAGCAGCAGUACCAUACGACAUCAAGAAGAUACCAUCAGCUACCAAAAGCCAUAAGUAUAAUCCAGAAUUGUUAGUUUUUGGCAAGAAUUUGAAUACAUUUGUUAAUGCAAUUUACUAAGUCAUUUUAUUUAUUAUAUCUUUAUGAACAAUAAACAUGAUUAGUUAAAAACUA
RNAcentral lists this long non-coding RNA (778 nucleotides) under Diabrotica virgifera virgifera (western corn rootworm). Its description in RNAcentral is "uncharacterized LOC126888241". The record is from RNAcentral. Lineage: Eukaryota; Metazoa; Arthropoda; Insecta; Coleoptera; Chrysomelidae.